This 253-nucleotide ribosomal RNA is filed under the name uncultured bacterium. RNAcentral's name for it is "partial 16S ribosomal RNA". It matches the Rfam family "Bacterial small subunit ribosomal RNA", at positions 524 to 776 of the family's 1533-position model. The record is from RNAcentral.
UACGAAGGGGGCUAGCGUUGCUCGGAAUCACUGGGCGUAAAGCGCACGUAGGCGGGUUGUUAAGUCGGGGGUGAAAUCCUGGAGCUCAACUCCAGAACUGCCUUCGAUACUGGCGAUCUCGAGUUCGGGAGAGGUGAGUGGAACUGCGAGUGUAGAGGUGAAAUUCGUAGAUAUUCGCAAGAACACCAGUGGCGAAGGCGGCUCACUGGCCCGGUACUGACGCUGAGGUGCGAAAGCGUGGGGAGCAAACAGG